This 815-nucleotide ribosomal RNA is filed under the name uncultured Latescibacterota bacterium. RNAcentral describes it as "bacterial SSU rRNA". It matches the Rfam family "Bacterial small subunit ribosomal RNA", at positions 617 to 1430 of the family's 1533-position model. The record is from RNAcentral. Lineage: Bacteria; Pseudomonadati; Candidatus Latescibacterota.
GGACGUGCGUCCCAUACUGCGGGGCUUGAGUGCAGGAGAGGAUGGGGGAAUCCCGGUGUAGCGGUGAAAUGCAUUGAUAUCGGGAGGAACACCAGUGGCGAAGGCGCCCAUCUGGUCUGCUACUGACGCUUAGGCGCGAAAGCUGGGGGAGCAAACAGGAUUAGAUACCCUGGUAGUCCCAGCCGUAAACGGUGAGCACUAGGUGUGGGGGGCAUCGACCCCUUCCGUGCCGCAGCUAACGCAUUAAGUGCUCCGCCUGGGGAGUACGACCGCAAGGUUGAAACUCAAAGGAAUUGACGGGGGCCCGCACAAGCGGUGGAGCAUGUGGUUUAAUUCGAUGCAACGCGAAGAACCUUACCCAGGCUUGACAUGCACUGGAUCGGUGUGGAAACACACCUUCUCCGCAAGGGGCCGGUGCACAGGUGCUGCAUGGCUGUCGUCAGCUCGUGUCGUGAGAUGUUGGGUUAAGUCCCGCAACGAGCGCAACCCUUGCCUCUAGUUGCUAGCAAGUGAAGUUGAGCACUCUAGAGGGACUGCCGUCGAUAGGACGGAGGAAGGUGGGGAUGACGUCAAGUCCUCAUGGUCCUUACGCCUGGGGCUACACACGUGCUACAAUGGCCGGUACAAAGGGUUGCAAAGCCGCGAGGUUGAGCCAAUCCCAAAAAACCGGUCUCAGUUCGGAUUGCAGUCUGCAACUCGACUGCAUGAAGUCGGAAUCGCUAGUAAUCGCUGAUCAGCAGGCAGCGGUGAAUAUGUUCCCGGGCCUUGUACACACCGCCCGUCAAGCCACGAAAGCUGGUAGUACCCGAAGUCGC